GACGAACGCUGGCGGCGUGCUUAACACAUGCAAGUCGAACGGAAAGGCCCUGCUUUUGUGGGGUGCUCGAGUGGCGAACGGGUGAGUAACACGUGAGUAACCUGCCCUUGACUUUGGGAUAACUUCAGGAAACUGGGGCUAAUACCGGAUAGGAGCUCCUGCUGCAUGGUGGGGGUAGGAAAGUUUCGGCGGUUGGGGAUGGACUCGCGGCUUAUCAGCUUGUUGGUGGGGUAGUGGCUUACCAAGGCUUUGACGGGUAGCCGGCCUGAGAGGGUGACCGGCCACAUUGGGACUGAGAUACGGCCCAGACUCCUACGGGAGGCAGCAGUGGGGAAUAUUGCACAAUGGGCGGAAGCCUGAUGCAGCAACGCCGCGUGCGGGAUGACGGCCUUCGGGUUGUAAACCGCUUUCGCCUGUGACGAAGCGUGAGUGACGGUAAUGGGUAAAGAAGCACCGGCUAACUACGUG
Molecule: ribosomal RNA, 468 nt
Filed under: uncultured bacterium
Lineage: Bacteria
Description: partial 16S ribosomal RNA
Rfam family: Bacterial small subunit ribosomal RNA
Source: RNAcentral